AUUGAACGCUGGCGGCAGGCCCAACACAUGCAAGUCGAACGGUAACAGGAAGAAGCUUGCUUCUUUGCUGACGAGUGGCGGACGGGUGAGUAAUGUCUGGGAAACUGCCUGAUGGAGGGGGAUAACUACUGGAAACGGUAGCUAAUACCGCAUAAUGUCGCAAGACCAAAGAAGGGGACCUUCGGGCCUCUUGCCAUCGGAUGUGCCCAGAUGGGAUUAGCUAGUAGGUGGGGUAACGGCUCACCUAGGCGACGAUCCCUAGCUGGUCUGAGAGGAUGACCAGCCACACUGGAACUGAGACACGGUCCAGACUCCUACGGGAGGCAGCAGUGGGGAAUAUUGCACAAUGGGCGCAAGCCUGAUGCAGCUAUGCCGCGUGUAUGAAGAAGGCCUUCGGGUUGUAAAGUACUUUCAGCGGGGAGGAAGGGAGUAAAGUUAAUACCUUUGCUCAUUGACGUUACCCGCAGAAGAAGCACCGGCUAACUCCGUG
Molecule: ribosomal RNA, 490 nt
Filed under: uncultured bacterium
Lineage: Bacteria
Description: partial 16S ribosomal RNA
Rfam family: Bacterial small subunit ribosomal RNA
Source: RNAcentral